Lolium perenne is the source of this 1965-nucleotide non-coding RNA. The record is from RefSeq and is a predicted model, not a curated record. NCBI's taxonomy places the organism in Eukaryota, Viridiplantae, Streptophyta, Magnoliopsida, Poales, Poaceae.
GAUCUGCCUUCCCCCACCUGCAAAUGCAGCAUGGUCAGCUAACCAAUUGAUGAUUUGCGAUAUUACGAGUUAGGCCCAGUUUAUCACUUUCUUCCAGUUUGUUGCCAACAAUCUGGCAGUGUCAUAAGGGAGUACACUGUUUGUUGCCAACGAUCUGGCAGUGCCAUAAGGGAGUACAUGUGUUUCAUCUGAAAAUAUAACACCGGGUUGAUUUGUAUUCUCCUUUUGAUGUGUUGACUAACACAUUCAAUCCGUAAGGUUAGUUUCUCUUUCUGUUGCUUGCCCAUUGUCCUUGCUUAAAUGUCCAUUGUCAUUUCCUUGUUUGAAGUUGCCUCUUGAGUUUGUACAUAAUGUUGUACAAUGUUAUUGGACCUUAGCUAAAAUCUGCAAAAUAUUCAUACAAAUGUCACCACUUAGAUUCUGGAAUAUAUUUAUAAUGGUCACAAUAUAUUUAUAAUGGUUACUAUCAAUUGAUAGAGGUCUUAAAUUGUUGUAUAAUUAACCAAAAUUUGAUUGAGAAUGGCUGCAGCGUCACUCAUGAGUGUGUCCAAGGGGUUGGAAGAGGAAGAGGAGGACGUAGGUGGGGCGGAAGGAGCUGUCGCAUCGGAGCAAAAGGAGUAGCCAAAGGAGGAUGGAAGGGCUGUCGAGGAAAUUUUCUCAAGCGCACACUGUUGGAUGCUAUUAUAACUCAGCCUGGAUGGCCACCCAACCCAAAUGCCCUCCCUUUACCACUAUGGUGGCGGCGAUGGCGGGAAGAGCAGAGCUCCACUCCAAGCACCCGGUGUUAAAAUAAACCAAAACUUAUAGUUUAAAUUCUGAUUUAAUUCUAUUGUUUGCGCGAUUGUUCUGGUUAAUAGGUUCUUGCGAACGGAACACAGCUUGCUUGCUCUCAAACACGUGUAGAGUUUCUCCUCUUUCAUUCUAUGGCUGAUCGCUGGCAAAGCUCUGAAAUCAUUUGGAUUGUUGUUAUUCAAGCUAUGGUAUCAGGAAGGACUUAUGUUGAGGAGAUUACUGUCAUGUCGCUGUCUGUCCCGGUGUACUACUGGACAAACUACAUCAAGCUUUGCGUCUAGAAGGAGGCAACUUACUGUCCAACUUAAAUAGGUAUUGAGGUUUUGCAGGAUAUUGACAUGGCUCUUUGAUCACAUCUCCUGCUAUUUUCGAUCCUUCAGGUGGUAGAAAUGGCAGGACCACGAUUGUCGCAAAAAUGGUGAGAUAAGGCAAGCAAUCUGCUCUGUUCUGAGUACCUGCCAAAUGGAACUCUUUAUGAGCAUCUUCAAGAUGGGGAAGGAUGUCAGCUAUCUUGGCCCUGUCGUUUGGAGAUCGUGCGCAUUCUAAGUCACUUGCAAACUGACCUGCGGCUUCCAUUCGCCGUCGCCACUGAAUCAUGCUUUCAUGUACACUCCUGGAAACCUGUAUUCCAGAAUCCGGUACACUUCAGAAGGUGCUGCUUGUGAAUUGGCCCUUCGUGCUUUGCAAAUGGAGGCAUGAACAUGGCCUGCAAGGAUUCUCUGGAUUGGCUUGUCCCUUACAUAGGUCAGUGAGGUUAGUUACUCUUUUAGAUUGGAAACGAUCCAGUGGCUGCUCAGCAAAAAGUUUCAGAUAAAAAGGGUACAUAGUGUAAUUGGAAGCUUUAACUUCAAUCUUUGUACCACACAUACUACUAAUACUUACUUGAACAGUGUGCCUUUUGAGGUAUUGUACCACACAUACUACAGAUACUUGCUUGAACAGUGUGACAGAACUAACAUUUGUUGCAUCGAUCAUGUAUUUCUUGUUGAUUUUUGGCGAAAGAGCUUAUACAAAAGCAUUAAAGCUGAAAAAUAGUGCGAAAUCAUACUAAAUUAUGAAUGUAAAAUACUAAAGCAGUUAAAUUUUGGGCUAAUUUUUAAUAUAAAAUAAGCUAACAUUUAUGGUUUAAAUGUUGACUUAACUUUUCCAUUUGCGCGAUAGCGCAACGGGUCA